AUUGAACGCUGGCGGCAUGCCUUACACAUGCAAGUCGAACGGCAGCGGACCUUCGGGUGCCGGCGAGUGGCGAACGGGUGAGUAAUAUAUCGGAACGUACCUUUCAGUGGGGGAUAACGUAGCGAAAGUUACGCUAAUACCGCAUAUUCUGUGAGCAGGAAAGCAGGGGAUCGCAAGACCUUGCGCUGAAUUGAGCGGCCGAUAUCAGAUUAGCUAGUUGGUGAGGUAAAGGCUCACCAAGGCGACGAUCUGUAGCGGGUCGUGAGAGGAUGAUCCGCCACACUGGAACUGAGACACGGUCCAGACUCCUACGGGAGGCAGCAGUGGGGAAUUUUGGACAAUGGGCGCAAGCCUGAUCCAGCCAUUGCCGCGUGAGUGAA
Molecule: ribosomal RNA, 380 nt
Filed under: uncultured bacterium
Lineage: Bacteria
Description: bacterial SSU rRNA
Rfam family: Bacterial small subunit ribosomal RNA
Source: RNAcentral